This 262-nucleotide long non-coding RNA is filed under the name Mytilus galloprovincialis (Mediterranean mussel). The record is from RNAcentral. Lineage: Eukaryota; Metazoa; Mollusca; Bivalvia; Mytilida; Mytilidae.
UUAGGGAGCUACCAUUUGAUUUUUAUGGGGGGGGCUAGGAUGAAAUUUGAAAAAAAUAGGCAGGACGGAGUUGAGUUAAAAAAAAAGCAGGAUGAGACACUUGCAAAAAAAAAGUCAGGAUGACAAUUUAUGUAAAAAAAGUCAGGAUAAACUAAAAAAAAAAAAAGCAGGACCGAAUAGAGUGAAAAAUAAAAAGGCAGGACAGAGAUUACAACUAAAAAAAAAUGCAGGACAAAAUUUUUCAUCCUAGCCCCCCCCCCCC